Molecule: small nuclear RNA, 95 nt
Filed under: Meriones unguiculatus (Mongolian gerbil)
Lineage: Eukaryota; Metazoa; Chordata; Mammalia; Rodentia; Muridae
Source: RNAcentral
GCACUCGCUUCAGCAGCACAUAUACUAAAAUUGGAAGAUUAGCAUGGCCCCCACGCAAGGAUGACAUGCAAAUCCAUGAAGCGCUUCAUAAUUUU